RNAcentral lists this ribosomal RNA (335 nucleotides) under uncultured bacterium. RNAcentral describes it as "bacterial SSU rRNA". It matches the Rfam family "Bacterial small subunit ribosomal RNA", at positions 335 to 672 of the family's 1533-position model. The record is from RNAcentral.
ACUCCUACGGGAGGCAGCAGUAAGGAAUAUUGCGCAAUGGACGAAAGUCUGACGCAGCGACGCCGCGUGGGGGAUGAAGGUCUUCGGAUUGUAAACCCCUUUCGGCAGGGAAGAUGGAACGGGCAACCGUUCGGACGGUACCUGCAGAAGCAGCCACGGCUAACUUCGUGCCAGCAGCCGCGGUAAUACGAAGGUGGCAAGCGUUGUUCGGAUUCACUGGGCGUACAGGGAGCGUAGGCGGUUAGGUAAGCCCUCCGUGAAAUCUCCGGGCCUAACCCGGAAAGUGCAGAGGGGACUGCUUGGCUAGAGGAUGGGAGAGGAGCGCGGAAUUCCCG